UGUGCCUGGCCAGGCAAACAAUGCGUACAUCUUUCCUGGAUUCGGUUUGGGGUUAAUUAUGUCAGGCACAAUCCGUGUUCACGAUGACAUGCUUCUAGCAGCCUCGGAAGCUUUGGCAUCACAAGUGUCCCAAGAGGAUUUCGACAGAGGACUCAUCUAUCCUCCAUUUACAAACAUCAGAAAGAUUUCAGCACAUAUUGCUGCCAGUGUGGCUGCAAAAGCUUAUGAACUUGGUUUGGCCACUCGCCUCCCUCAACCAAAAGAUCUGGUGAAAUAUGCUGAGAGCUGUAUGUACAGUCCUAGCUAUCAAAAUUACCGGUAGUUUAGUGUCGUUACUCUGGUGUAGCUAUGUCGUAACGUUUGUUUAUUUUCCGAUAAUGUUUCUUCUAUUGUAUUAUUUUCUUUUGUUAUGUAAGUUAUUUGGUGGUUUAGAAAUCAGCCAUAGUUUGUAUUAGCUGUGAAAAAAGGAGGAAAAAGAAAAAGGAAGUGGAAAAAAGAACUCUUACAAGUUUUUCAUGAAAUAGAAUGGAAACUUGAGCUCAAAAUCUGAAGUGGAUUCAUUACUUAUUGGUGAAGUAUAUUCACAGUUUCUUGUAAAAAAACAAUGGUUUAUUCCUUGUUGGAG
Molecule: unclassified non-coding RNA, 625 nt
Filed under: Hevea brasiliensis (rubber tree)
Lineage: Eukaryota; Viridiplantae; Streptophyta; Magnoliopsida; Malpighiales; Euphorbiaceae
Source: RNAcentral